RNAcentral lists this long non-coding RNA (385 nucleotides) under Saimiri boliviensis boliviensis (Bolivian squirrel monkey). RNAcentral describes it as "lncRNA (ENSSBOG00000036568.1)". The record is from RNAcentral. Lineage: Eukaryota; Metazoa; Chordata; Mammalia; Primates; Cebidae.
AUGUGCUGUCACAAAGUGAGAUCCACAACUUCCUCUUACAGACUGGAAAGCACCAAGAGUGUUUCUUGCUCUUUCUGGGUCUCAUCUUGGACAAGGAUCCAGCUGUGCUUCUCACCAUCCCGACUCCCAUGUGCUGCUGAUUCUGGAGAAGACCCAGGAGUUGAACAGCUAUUUGAAUCUACCCAGAUUAUAAUCUGAAGCUACCCUGAAUCCCCUCCAGUAGACGACAGAUGACUUUGAUCACGACACCAACACUUACCUGGGUAAGAACCCAGGGGAUUUACAAAGAUUUUUGGCUUGCCAGAGCCCUUCAACUGGAAGCAUCAUUUUCAGAUUCAAGGUGAGGUCACAUUUAGGAUCAUUUGUAGAAAGGAGAUGGAUUCAC